CGUAGGUGCGAGCGUUAAUCGGAAUUACUGGGCGUAAAGCGUGCGCAGGCGGUUUUGUAAGCCAGAUGUGAAAUCCCCGGGCUCAACCUGGGAAUGGCAUUUGGGACUGCAAGGCUUGAGUGCGGCAGAGGAGACUGGAAUUCCUGGUGUAGCAGUGAAAUGCGUAGAUAUCAGGAGGAAUACCGAUGGCGAAGGCAGGUCUCUGGGCUGACACUGACGCUCAUGCACGAAAGCGUGGGGAGCAAACAGGAUUAGAUACCCUGGUAGUCCACGCCCUAAACGAUGUCGACUGGUUGUUGGGGGUUUGACACUCUCAGUAACGAAGCUAACGCGUGAAGUCGACCGCCUGGGGAGUACGGCCGCAAGGUUA
RNAcentral lists this ribosomal RNA (370 nucleotides) under uncultured organism. RNAcentral's name for it is "bacterial SSU rRNA". It matches the Rfam family "Bacterial small subunit ribosomal RNA", at positions 526 to 896 of the family's 1533-position model. The record is from RNAcentral.